UGUUUCAUUACAUGAAAUUUUUAUUUAAAUUGGCAAAAUUAAAAAAGGAAGUAGGGAUUAUGAAACCACCGCCUCUGGGUCGCCACCGUCACUGUUGCAGCACGUCCGCGGUGCCAUCAAUCACACUGGACACGGCGGUUCGACCCUUUCACGCAUGAGAGAGGUUUUGUCGUCCCCAUCGAUGCGCCCUCCACCAUCACGAACAAGGCUCGUCGCCCUUGGUGCCAACCGCUCACGCUGACGUCGCUGCAACCUCCAACCACUUUAACCGCCGCGACCUCCAACCACCGCGAGUUCGUCUUCCUAUUCCUUCUCAUAGCAACCCCCACAUCAUCCGCGACUUCUUGCUUCAUGCGAGCGUCAAUCAGAACAUGCAUUCUCCACCCUGCCACCCAAAAAAAAAAAUAUGCCCAAAUCACAAAAAUAGAGAGAGACGAGUAACCCAGCGGCACCAUCAUCCCUUCUUCUCGCGCCUCCCCUUUCGAACUAAUUAUGCCAAUAGAUAUGUAUCUGCAGGAAGAUUUGUGGAUGCUCUUUCCCAAGGAGGAGGAGGAGUAUAUUGGUCCUGUGUACCCAACAUUUUGGUUGUCUCGUUUCUUUGCAGAUUUGUGGAUGCUCUUUCCCAAGGAGGAGGAGUAUAUUGACUGGUUUCAAAAGGCAGGGUUUAAGGAUGUCCAACUUAAAAGGAUUGGCCUUGGUUAGUGUUAAAUAAUGAUGGACAUGGAGGUUCUUUUUGAUGGGUUAUGUUUUGGUAGAGAAAAAAAUAUGACUGUGAAGAUUAUAAAGAUAUUGAUGGAGGGAUUGAAUAUUGAAGAUAGAAAUGGAAAUUGUUCUUAUAAGGAGAUGAUAAAUCUGAUAAUGGCUUGGGUUUUUCGAUGGUAGCAGUAACAACAACAGAUUGGAGGCCAAAAACAUUGAGUUUGCGGAGGGAUCCACAAGCGAUUGACACCGAGUCGGUCACCCUUCAAGCUUUUCCAAAGAACGUCCAAUGGUUUCCAAAUCUCUCAUUCGCUUUUCAAUUUUGUCAUGUCAUAAUUCUUUUAUUUAAAUAAAAAUUUCACGUAAUGAAA
Long non-coding RNA from Vigna angularis (adzuki bean), 1070 nucleotides. RefSeq lists it as uncharacterized. The record is from RefSeq and is a predicted model, not a curated record. NCBI's taxonomy places the organism in Eukaryota, Viridiplantae, Streptophyta, Magnoliopsida, Fabales, Fabaceae. The transcript is spliced from 2 exons.